GUGGGGAAUAUUGGACAAUGGGGGGAACCCUGAUCCAGCCAUGCCGCGUGUGUGAAGAAGGCCUUUUGGUUGUAAAGCACUUUAAGCGAGGAGGAGGCUACCGAGAUUAAUACUCUUGGAUAGUGGACGUUACUCGCAGAAUAAGCACCGGCUAACUCUGUGCCAGCAGCCGCGGUAAUACAGAGGGUGCGAGCGUUAAUCGGAUUUACUGGGCGUAAAGCGUGCGUAGGCGGCUUUUUAAGUCGGAUGUGAAAUCCCCGAGCUUAACUUGGGAAUUGCAUUCGAUACUGGGAAGCUAGAGUAUGGGAGAGGAUGGUAGAAUUCCAGGUGUAGCGGUGAAAUGCGUAGAGAUCUGGAGGAAUACCGAUGGCGAAGGCAGCCAUCUGGCCUAAUACUGACACUGAGGUGCGAAAGCAUGGGGAGCAAACAGGAUUAGAAACCCCGGUAGUCC
Molecule: ribosomal RNA, 451 nt
Filed under: uncultured bacterium
Lineage: Bacteria
Description: bacterial SSU rRNA
Rfam family: Bacterial small subunit ribosomal RNA
Source: RNAcentral